Molecule: microRNA, 22 nt
Filed under: Magallana gigas (Pacific oyster)
Lineage: Eukaryota; Metazoa; Mollusca; Bivalvia; Ostreida; Ostreidae
Description: Mgi-Mir-252-P1_3p* (star (passenger))
Source: RNAcentral
ACCGGCGCAUCUCUACUUUACU